ACGGAAGGCAGCAGUGGGGGAUAUUGCACAAUGGGGGAAACCCUGAUGCAGCGACGCCGCGUGAGUGAAGAAGUAUUUCGGUAUGUAAAGCUCUAUCAGCAGGGAAGAUAAUGACGGUACCUGACUAAGAAGCACCGGCUAAAUACGUGCCAGCAGCCGCGGUAAUACGUAUGGUGCAAGCGUUAUCCGGAUUUACUGGGUGUAAAGGGAGCGUAGACGGCAAAGCAAGUCUGAUGUGAAAGCUAUGGGCUCAACCCAUAAACUGCAUUGGAAACUGUUUAGCUAGAGUGUCGGAGAGGUAAGUGGAAUUCCUAGUGUAGCGGUGAAAUGCGUAGAUAUUAGGAGGAACACCAGUGGCGAAGGCGGCUUACUGGACAAUAACUGACGUUGAGGCUCGAAAGCGUGGGGAGCAAACAGGAUUAGAUACCCUGGUA
Molecule: ribosomal RNA, 434 nt
Filed under: uncultured Lachnospiraceae bacterium
Lineage: Bacteria; Bacillati; Bacillota; Clostridia; Lachnospirales; Lachnospiraceae
Description: partial 16S ribosomal RNA
Rfam family: Bacterial small subunit ribosomal RNA
Source: RNAcentral